UUGAAUAUGUUGUGGUGGGCAUUGAAUGCCUCUAGUUUGGGGAGUGGUAGAUGUUUGUUUGUACAAUGUUAUAACUGGCUAUUGUAAUCAUGCUGUGUAACUGCAUCAUUUGUACACGUUUGUGUUGAUGAUAAUUACAAAUCAUUGUAAUUUAAUAAUGUAAUUAAAUAAUUAAUUGCAGCUGUGAAGGAAAUUAAGAAAUCCCACCUGGUUGAAAUGAGGGCUCUGAACAACCCCAUCAGUUCAUCAAGAUGGCACUGGAAAGCAUCUGCAUGCUAAUGGGAGAACCUUACACUGACUGGAAGAGUAUCAGACAGAUUAUAAUGAAGGAGAACUUUAUAUCACGCUAGUAAGGCUGUGGGCCUUUGGUGAAGUGGGCCAUUGCUCAGAAUUUUUUCUGAAUUUUUUCUAACAGCUAGCGUGGAAAUGUUUUCGGAUUAUUUUAGACCUGAGAACCCUGUCAGGAAACACUCUCAUUAUUUCAUACUCAGUCCCUCUAGGACGUUGAGAGCUAUGACCCAAUCCUGAACCCUGUCCUAUCCUAGACAACAACAGAAUCAUUACUGAGCUUGAGACUCUUAAGGAAGAGGCUGCAGAAGUUCAGAGGAAGAUGGAGGAGACUGAUACUGUAAUGGCUGAAGUUGACAGAGUCUCCCAGCAAUACCUGCCUCUCUCCACCUCCUGCUCUGCCAUGUACUUCACUCUGGAGUCACUCAAUCAGGUUGUGGACCUGAGGCUGAACUCAUCAUCUCAAGGACUGAUCUCUCAUUCAUAUACUGAAGAUCUAUAUAUAGACUGGGUUUAGGAACUAAGGACUGUAACACUAUAAGACUGGUUUAAUUAAUUAAAAUCAUUGUUGACUUGUACUCUACAUGUAUGACUGAAGUGUGUUUCUUAUUUUAUUGUCAUUUUUCAUUAUUUAAUCUCAUUUCUGUUUAUAAGUCAUUGCACCUGUUUCUGCAUUAA
Long non-coding RNA from Amphimedon queenslandica, 966 nucleotides. RefSeq lists it as uncharacterized. The transcript has 4 exons. Lineage: Eukaryota; Metazoa; Porifera; Demospongiae; Haplosclerida; Niphatidae. The record is from RefSeq and is a predicted model, not a curated record.